Molecule: small nuclear RNA, 164 nt
Organism: Carlito syrichta (Philippine tarsier)
Lineage: Eukaryota; Metazoa; Chordata; Mammalia; Primates; Tarsiidae
Gene: U1
Rfam family: U1 spliceosomal RNA
About the family: U1 is a small nuclear RNA (snRNA) component of the spliceosome (involved in pre-mRNA splicing). Its 5' end forms complementary base pairs with the 5' splice junction, thus defining the 5' donor site of an intron.
Source: Ensembl
AUACUUACCUGGCAGGAGAGACACCAUGUUUGUGAAGGUGAUUUUCCCAGGGCGAGGUUUAUUCAUUGCACUCUGGAUGUGCUGACCCCUACGAUUUCCCCAAAUGUGGGAAACUCCACUGCAUAAUUUGUGGUAGUGGGGGACUGCAUUCACACUCUUCCCUG